Long non-coding RNA from Branchiostoma belcheri (Belcher's lancelet), 227 nucleotides. RefSeq lists it as uncharacterized. The transcript is spliced from 2 exons. Lineage: Eukaryota; Metazoa; Chordata; Leptocardii; Amphioxiformes; Branchiostomatidae. The record is from RefSeq and is a predicted model, not a curated record.
AGUUCCUUGAGACGUCCGAGAAGCCCUCUGAGGAGCCAGAAGAGAUGGAAGAAGCAGAGGCUGAGGAUCUGUUGGCGAUGAUGUGAGAUUGUGCCAGUUCGUAUUCUCGACACAGACAGCCCAGCUGACUGCAAGUUCUUCUGCACAAUACUGGAACAUUCCUUGCAAUUGAUAGGUUAGGGGCGGGUACCGGUCUAAACCGGAACGACAUUCGGGAACCAAGUCUA